Molecule: small nuclear RNA, 77 nt
Filed under: Myotis brandtii (Brandt's bat)
Lineage: Eukaryota; Metazoa; Chordata; Mammalia; Chiroptera; Vespertilionidae
Source: RNAcentral
AUGCUCGCUACGGCAGCACAUAUACUAAAAUUGGAAUGAUACGGAGUAGGUUAGCAUGGCCCCUGCGCAAGGAUGAC